This 459-nucleotide ribosomal RNA is filed under the name uncultured bacterium. Its description in RNAcentral is "partial 16S ribosomal RNA". It matches the Rfam family "Bacterial small subunit ribosomal RNA", at positions 338 to 795 of the family's 1533-position model. The record is from RNAcentral.
CCUACGGGUGGCAGCAGUGAGGAAUAUUGGUCAAUGGUCGGGCGACUGAACCAGCCAAGCCGCGUGAGGGAUGAAGGUACAGAGUAUCGUAAACCUCUUUUGUCAGGGAACAAAGGCGGGGACGUGUCCCCGGACGAGUGUACCUGAAGAAAAAGCAUCGGCUAACUCCGUGCCAGCAGCCGCGGUAAUACGGAGGAUGCGAGAGUUAACCGGAUUUAUUGGGUUUAAAGGGUGCGCAGGGGGUAUGUUAAGUCAGCGGUAAAAGCCCGGGGCUCAACCCGGGCCCGCCGUUGAAACUGGCAGUCUCGAGUUGGAGAGAAGUAUGCGGAAUGCGCGGUGUAGCGGUGGAAUGUAUAGAUAUCGCGCAGAACUCCGAUUGCGAAGGCAGCAUGCCGGCUCCACACUGACGCUGAGGCACGAAAGCGUGGGUAUCGAACAGGAUUAGAUACCCUAGUAGUC